UGAGUAAUCUGCCCUCCACUUCGGGAUAAGCGCCGGAAACGGCGUCUAAUACCGAAUACGACGCGCUUUCGCAUGAGAUGCGCGUGGAAAGUUUUUAUCGGUGGAGGAUGUGCUCGCGGCCUAUCAGCUUGUUGGUGAGGUAACGGCUCACCAAGGCGACGACGGGUAGCUGGUCUGAGAGGAUGGCCAGCCCAACAGUUUGGGGACUGAGACACCGGCCCAGACCUCGUACGGGGA
This 237-nucleotide ribosomal RNA is filed under the name uncultured bacterium. RNAcentral describes it as "partial 16S ribosomal RNA". It matches the Rfam family "Bacterial small subunit ribosomal RNA", at positions 118 to 347 of the family's 1533-position model. The record is from RNAcentral.